RNAcentral lists this ribosomal RNA (625 nucleotides) under uncultured fungus. Its description in RNAcentral is "LSU rRNA". It matches the Rfam family "Eukaryotic large subunit ribosomal RNA", at positions 62 to 702 of the family's 3401-position model. Lineage: Eukaryota; Fungi. The record is from RNAcentral.
AAAACAACAGGGAUACCUCAGUAACGGCGAGUGAAGCGGUAACAGCUCAAAUUUGAAAUCUGGCUCUUUCAGGGUCCGAGUUGUAAUUUGUAGAAGAUGUUUCGGGUGUGGCUCCGGUCUAAGUUCCUUGGAACAGGACGUCGUAGAGGGUGAGAAUCCCGUAUGUGACUGGCUGCCUCCGCCCAUGUGAAACUCUUUCGACGAGUCGAGUUGUUUGGGAAUGCAGCUCAAAAUGGGUGGUAAAUUUCAUCUAAAGCUAAAUAUUGGCCAGAGACCGAUAGCGCACAAGUAGAGUGAUCGAAAGAUGAAAAGCACUUUGGAAAGAGAGUUAAACAGUACGUGAAAUUGUUGAAAGGGAAGCGCUUGCAAUCAGACUUGCGCGCGGCCGAUCAUCCGGGGUUCUCCCCGGUGCACUCGGUCGCGUUCAGGCCAGCAUCGGUUUGGGUGGUGGGAUAAAGGCCUUGGGAAUGUAGCUUCUUUCGGGGAGUGUUAUAGCCCUCGGUGCAAUGCCGCCUAUCCAGACCGAGGACCGCGCUUCGGCUAGGAUGCUGGCGUAAUGGUUGUAAGCGACCCGUCUUGAAACACGGACCAAGGAGUCUAACACUUAUGCGAGUAUUUGGGUGUC